Molecule: ribosomal RNA, 253 nt
Filed under: uncultured bacterium
Lineage: Bacteria
Description: partial 16S ribosomal RNA
Rfam family: Bacterial small subunit ribosomal RNA
Source: RNAcentral
UACGUAGGGUGCAAGCGUUAAUCGGAGUUACUGGGCGUAAAGCGUGCGCAGGCGGCUUUGCAAGACAGAUGUGAAAUCCCCGGGCUUAACCUGGGAACUGCAUUUGUGACUGCAUCGCUGGAGUGCGGCAGAGGGGGAUGGAAUUCCGCGUGUAGCAGUGAAAUGCGUAGAUAUGCGGAGGAACACCGAUGGCGAAGGCAAUCCCCUGGGCCUGCACUGACGCUCAUGCACGAAAGCGUGGGGAGCAAACAGG